Molecule: ribosomal RNA, 534 nt
Filed under: Simulium shewellianum
Lineage: Eukaryota; Metazoa; Arthropoda; Insecta; Diptera; Simuliidae
Description: partial 16S ribosomal RNA
Rfam family: Bacterial large subunit ribosomal RNA
Source: RNAcentral
AAAAACAUGUCUUUUUGGUUAUUUAAUAUAAAGUCUAGCCUGCCCACUGAAUUUAAUUUUGAAGGGCCGCAGUAUUUUGACUGUGCAAAGGUAGCAUAAUCAUUAGUCUUUUAAUUGGAGGCUGGUAUGAAUGGUUGGAUGAGGUACAAGCUGUGUCAUAAAAAUUAACAUUUGAAUUUAACUUUUUAGUCAAAAGGCUAAAAUUAAAUUAAAAGACGAGAAGACCCUAUAGAGCUUUAUAUAAUAAUUAUUUAAUUUAUUAAGAUUUAUUAAAUUUAAUUAUUUGAUUAUAUUUUGUUGGGGUGACAGUAAAAUUUAAAAAACUUUUAUUAUUAAUUUACAUUUAUUUAUGAUUAAAUGAUCCAGUUUUAUUGAUUAUAAAUUUAAGUUACCUUAGGGAUAACAGCGUAAUUUUUUUUGAGAGUUCUUAUCGACAAAAAAGAUUGCGACCUCGAUGUUGGAUUAAGAGUAAUUUUGGGUGUAGAAGUUCAAAGUUUAAGUCUGUUCGACUUUUAAAUUCUUACAUGAUCUGAG